Camelina sativa (false flax) is the source of this 654-nucleotide long non-coding RNA. RefSeq lists it as uncharacterized. Lineage: Eukaryota; Viridiplantae; Streptophyta; Magnoliopsida; Brassicales; Brassicaceae. The record is from RefSeq and is a predicted model, not a curated record.
UCAUUAAUUAAAAAGUUAUAGCCACUUGUAAUUAAAAUAAAUAAACUAAAACCUAAAUGCUCUUCUUUUUCGUUGCUUUACCUUGCAGCGCCGCUGGUCAAUCUGUUCUACGCUUCCAAACACGAACCGUACGCUUCUCAUGCGCUUCCAAAUCAAAGUUUUUGGAAUCUCGAUUCCGCCACGCUUCCAGGCGAUUCCGAGCGUUUCCGAUUCCCAUUCCGAUUCUGAAGCGGGAAUCGGAGCUUCAAUGACGAUUCCGUGUAAAAACACAGAGUUUCAUCGACAGAUCUGAAGAAUCAGUGUCAAUGGCGAUGUCAGAGGUGGUGGAUCUGAAGACCCUAGUGUCAACAACGACAUCGGAGGUGGUGAUCUGAAGACCCUUGUGUCAACGAUGACGUCGGAGAUGGUGGUGGAAGUGAAGGACCACCGAAGAUGCUCGCACCUUUUACCACCGCCACUACGUUUUGAAGCUUCCGCCAGUUUACCACCAAUACAUCUCGGCCGCCGCCGUCGUUUUGUUCUCCGUUGCUCCGUCGCCGCAAUAAUACAUAUCCGUAGCUCUGGCCGAUGCCAUCUAUAGAUAUAGUUGUAUAGAUAUAUAUUUAUUAUACAUAUAAUGAAUUUAAGAAACAAAUAAAAACUAUUAUUAAUUUA